AGUGAACGCUGGCGGUAGGCCUAACACAUGCAAGUCGAACGGCAGCACAGUAAGAGCUUGCUCUUACGGGUGGCGAGUGGCGGACGGGUGAGGAAUACAUCGGAAUCUACUUUUUCGUGGGGGAUAACGUAGGGAAACUUACGCUAAUACCGCAUACGACCUACGGGUGAAAGCAGGGGAUCUUCGGACCUUGCGCGAUUGAAUGAGCCGAUGUCGGAUUAGCUAGUUGGCGGGGUAAAGGCCCACCAAGGCGACGAUCCGUAGCUGGUCUGAGAGGAUGAUCCGCCACCACGGAACUUAGACACCGUCCCAACUCCUUCGGGAGGGCGCCGUGGGGAAUAUUGGACAAUGGGCGCAAGCCUGAUCCAGCCAUACCGCGUGGGUGAAGAAGGCCUUCGGGUUGUAAAGCCCUUUUGUUGGGAAAGAAAAGCAGCAGGUUAAUACCCCGCUGUUCUGACGGUACCCAAAGAAUAAGCACCGGCUAACUUCGUG
Molecule: ribosomal RNA, 492 nt
Filed under: uncultured bacterium
Lineage: Bacteria
Description: partial 16S ribosomal RNA
Rfam family: Bacterial small subunit ribosomal RNA
Source: RNAcentral